Molecule: ribosomal RNA, 512 nt
Filed under: Stenotrophomonas maltophilia
Lineage: Bacteria; Pseudomonadati; Pseudomonadota; Gammaproteobacteria; Lysobacterales; Lysobacteraceae
Description: bacterial SSU rRNA
Rfam family: Bacterial small subunit ribosomal RNA
Source: RNAcentral
CUUUUGUUGGGAAAGAAAUCCAGCUGGCUAAUACCCGGUUGGGAUGACGGUACCCAAAGAAUAAGCACCGGCUAACUUCGUGCCAGCAGCCGCGGUAAUACGAAGGGUGCAAGCGUUACUCGGAAUUACUGGGCGUAAAGCGUGCGUAGGUGGUCGUUUAAGUCCGUUGUGAAAGCCCUGGGCUCAACCUGGGAACUGCAGUGGAUACUGGGCGACUAGAAUGUGGUAGAGGGUAGCGGAAUUCCUGGUGUAGCAGUGAAAUGCGUAGAGAUCAGGAGGAACAUCCAUGGCGAAGGCAGCUACCUGGACCAACAUUGACACUGAGGCACGAAAGCGUGGGGAGCAAACAGGAUUAGAUACCCUGGUAGUCCACGCCCUAAACGAUGCGAACUGGAUGUUGGGUGCAAUUUGGCACGCAGUAUCGAAGCUAACGCGUUAAGUUCGCCGCCUGGGGAGUACGGUCGCAAGACUGAAACUCAAAGGAAUUGACGGGGGCCCGCACAAGCGGUGGA